Molecule: ribosomal RNA, 452 nt
Filed under: uncultured eukaryote
Lineage: Eukaryota
Description: bacterial SSU rRNA
Rfam family: Eukaryotic small subunit ribosomal RNA
Source: RNAcentral
AAACUCACCAGGUCAGGACACGGUAAGGAUUGACGGACUGAAGGCUCUUUCUCGAUUCCGUGGAAAGUGGUGCAUGGCCGUUUUGGUUGGUGGAUCGAUCCGUCUGGUUAAUUCCGUUAACGAACGAGACCUCGGCACUCCGAAUAGCGCGGCGGACGUCGCGGCCUCCGGGCCGUCUUCCGCACGAGCUUCUUAGAGGGACCGUCCCCCCGCCGGGGAAGGAGGUGCGAGGCAACGACAGGUCUGUGAUGCCCUUAGAUGUUCUGGGCCGCACGCGCAUUACACUGACGCGUCCAACGGGUGACUCCCGACCCGAAGGGGCCGGGGAAUCCGCAAGGCGCGUCGUGAUGGGGAUUGAACGUUGCAAUUGUUGUUCACGAACGAGGAAUUCCUAGUAGGCGCGGGUCAUCAACCCGCGCCGAUUACGUCCCUGCCCUUUGUACACACCACCC